Molecule: ribosomal RNA, 118 nt
Filed under: Gallus gallus (chicken)
Lineage: Eukaryota; Metazoa; Chordata; Aves; Galliformes; Phasianidae
Source: RNAcentral
GCCUACGGCCAUCCCACCCUGGUAACGCCCGAUCUCGUCUGAUCUCGGAAGCUAAGCAGGGUCGGCCUGGUUAGUACUUGGAUGGGAGACCUCCUGGGAAUACCGGGUGCUGUAGGCU